This 377-nucleotide ribosomal RNA is filed under the name uncultured organism. RNAcentral describes it as "partial 16S ribosomal RNA". It matches the Rfam family "Bacterial small subunit ribosomal RNA", at positions 524 to 896 of the family's 1533-position model. The record is from RNAcentral.
GGGAGGGGGGGCAAGCGUUAUUCGGAUUUACUGGGCGUAAAGCGCACGUAGGUGGCAUGGGUAAGUCAAAGGGUGAAAGCCCUCGGCUCAACCGAGGAAUUGCCUUUGAAACUGCCCUUGCUUGAGUCCGGGAGGGGGAGCGGAAUUCCCAGUGUAGCGGUGAAAUGCGUAGAUACUGGGAGGAACACCGGUGGCGAAGGCGGCUCCCUGGACCGGUACUGACACUGAGGUGCGAAAGCGUGGGUAGCAAACAGGAUUAGAUACCCUGGUAGUCCACGCCGUAAACGAUGGGCACUAGGUGCAGCGGGUGUCGACCCCUGCUGUGCCGUAGUUAACGCAUUAAGUGCCCCGCCUGGGGAGUACGGUCGCAAAGGCUG